Non-coding RNA from Pelobates cultripes (western spadefoot toad), 82 nucleotides. Lineage: Eukaryota; Metazoa; Chordata; Amphibia; Anura; Pelobatidae. The record is from the annotation of a GenBank genome assembly.
AUUUAGGUUGGAGUGCAGGAAUUGGUUUUGUUUUAUAUAUAUAUAUAUAAAACAAAACCAAUUCCUGCACUCCAACCUAAAU